Molecule: long non-coding RNA, 631 nt
Filed under: Bos grunniens (domestic yak)
Lineage: Eukaryota; Metazoa; Chordata; Mammalia; Artiodactyla; Bovidae
Description: lncRNA (ENSBGRG00000006067.1)
Source: RNAcentral
UGUAGAGUGGGUAUCCUGGCAGACAGAUCAAUAGGUGUCCCGAGAGCAGGAGACGUGUGAAGCUCACGCAGGGCACAGGCCUCAGGAGCAGGAGCCCAGAUUCCAUCCAGCUUGAGUUAUAGAGGAAAUGGAACUUGGACCUAGCAGGUGUCAAGGCCCAGGGGCUCCGGAGGCCACUAGAACAGGAGCUGAAGGCAGGACAUGGCCACCGAAUAAAGCCUGUUAGUAGACCUGAGAUCAAGGUCAGAGAAGGACUAGCCAGCCUGGCUCAGGGACAAAUCCCCCAAGCCAUUGAACUUAAAAUUUCCCCAUCUUAGGAAAGGGUCUACCUAGAGACUGCAGAAGAGAUGAGCCUACAUGAAGAUAUUCAAGGAGACCCAGGGAAGGUGUCUAAGAGGCUGUGAAAGCAUGAAGUCACACGGGCCAUGGCUGUCAGCAGAGGAGUUUAUGGCUAAAAACAUCUGGAGGAAAAUGGGCCCUGCCAGAGCGCGCGCAGCCGCAGCCCACCCCUCCUCCUCCGGCACCUGAAAUCCUGUCCCCUUCCGCCCAUUUACGACUGUUUGCUGUGGAAACGGCUUGCGGAGCGGCCCCGAGGGAGCUAGUGGGAGAGCACAGUUCACGAUGGAGCCCA